UACGGAGGGGACUAGCGUUGUUCGGAAUUACUGGGCGUAAAGCGCACGUAGGCGGAUUUGUAAGUCAGGGGUGAAAUCCCGGGGCUCAACCUCGGAACUGCCUUUGAUACUGCAAAUCUCGAGUCCGGAAGAGGUGAGUGGAAUUCCUAGUGUAGAGGUGAAAUUCGUAGAUAUUAGGAAGAACACCAGUGGCGAAGGCGGCUCACUGGUCCGGUACUGACGCUGAGGUGCGAAAGCGUAGGGAGCAAACAGG
RNAcentral lists this ribosomal RNA (253 nucleotides) under uncultured bacterium. Its description in RNAcentral is "partial 16S ribosomal RNA". It matches the Rfam family "Bacterial small subunit ribosomal RNA", at positions 524 to 776 of the family's 1533-position model. The record is from RNAcentral.